Molecule: microRNA precursor, 98 nt
Organism: Prunus persica (peach)
Lineage: Eukaryota; Viridiplantae; Streptophyta; Magnoliopsida; Rosales; Rosaceae
Rfam family: MIR390 microRNA precursor family
Source: Rfam
UGGAAGAAUCUGUUAAGCUCAGGAGGGAUAGCGCCAUUCUUGGUUUGGUUUUAGACCAUGUAUUGCGCUAUCCAUCCUGAGUUUCAUGGCUUCCUCUU